This 253-nucleotide ribosomal RNA is filed under the name uncultured bacterium. Its description in RNAcentral is "partial 16S ribosomal RNA". It matches the Rfam family "Bacterial small subunit ribosomal RNA", at positions 524 to 776 of the family's 1533-position model. The record is from RNAcentral.
UACAGAGGUCCCGAGCGUUGUUCGGAUUCACUGGGCGUAAAGGGUGCGUAGGUGGUGGGGUAAGUCGGAUGUGAAAUUUCGGAGCUUAACUCCGAAACUGCAUUCGAUACUGCGGUGCUUGAGGACUGGAGAGGAGACUGGAAUUCAUGGUGUAGCAGUGAAAUGCGUAGAGAUCAUGAGGAAGACCAGUGGCGAAGGCGGGUCUCUGGACAGUUCCUGACACUGAGACACGAAGGCCAGGGGAGCAAACGGG